ACGUAGGGUCCGAGCGUUGUCCGGAAUUAUUGGGCGUAAAGAGCUCGUAGGCGGUAUGUCGCGUCUGCUGUGAAAGACCGGGGCUUAACUUCGGUUUUGCAGUGGAUACGGGCAUGCUGGAGGUAGGUAGGGGAGACUGGAAUUCCUGGUGUAGCGGUGAAAUGCGCAGAUAUCAGGAAGAACACCCGUGGCUAAGGCGGCUCUCUAGUACGGUACUGACGCUGAGACGCGAAAGCGUGGGGAGCGAACAGGA
RNAcentral lists this ribosomal RNA (253 nucleotides) under uncultured prokaryote. RNAcentral describes it as "partial 16S ribosomal RNA". It matches the Rfam family "Bacterial small subunit ribosomal RNA", at positions 525 to 777 of the family's 1533-position model. The record is from RNAcentral.